Bos taurus (domestic cattle) is the source of this 1071-nucleotide long non-coding RNA. The record is from Ensembl. Lineage: Eukaryota; Metazoa; Chordata; Mammalia; Artiodactyla; Bovidae.
GUCUUCAUUCCAAGCGGAGGGCGGGCUACAGAUAGAGGAUUGGGUGUCUCUUCCAAGCUCCAAGUCCUUCACAGAAAUGGGCUACUGUGCAUGUUUUCUUCCCAACCUUGAGGUCACCUGUGUGGAUAGAGGUUUUGAAAGAUUUCAGACUCUGGGCACAGAGGUCAUAUCCCGCCUUGACUCUCGCCACGCCUUCCUUGACUUCACAGGUGCUUUCCCUUCAGAAGGCCCUGCUCUGAGCGGCCCCUCUUCCCCGACCCACUCCUUCCAAGACGCAGUACUCGGCAUAGGACGCCCACCUGCCCGCCUUGCGCGGGGCUGACCUGGACAUCCCUGCCCGGGGCUCACACCCCUGCAGGACUGGGGGUAGAUGGAGCCAAAGAGGAUGUCCCCCAGGCUCUACAGACUCAGCAACUUGGGGUGGAGAAUGAGAGUGGAUCAGUCAUUGGAUUGAUGAGAAAAGUGUCGUUGAAAGAGACUACGGUUGAAGCCGGGCCACCGAACAACACAAGUAUUCACAGCACUGUUCACAGGCGCCAUAAAGGGGAAGCACUCCAGCCGUCCAUCGGCUGAUGAACGGGUGAACGAGACGUAGUGUGUCCAUCGCUAGGGAAUGCUAUCCAGCCUUAAAAAGGAGCGAGGCUCUGACACGGCACGACCUGGUGGACCUCGAGAACACUGCCGACUGAAAUACACCAGUCACUACAGGCCACACAGGGCUUCCCCGGCGGCUCAGCUGACAUGAGUCAAUGGACAUGAGUUUGAGCAGGUUCCAGGAGUUAGUGAUGGACAGGGAAGCCUGGCGUGCUGCAGUCCAUGGGGUCGCAGAGUCGGACACGACUGAGUGACUGAACUGAACUGAACCUCACAUCACUCCAGAGUUAAAGUCCUGGUGGGAGAAUCUGAUGAAUCCAGUUUGGGUUGCAUGGCCAGGUAUUUUGACUCACAGUUCCUCCAGAUGGUCUACCAUGGGGAAGAGAUGAGGAAACUGGCUCCCUGAACGGCUGAGUCACUCUCCCCAGGCCCCACGGGCAGUCAGUGGUGGAGCUGAAUCAGAGCCCAGGCCCAGUG